This 925-nucleotide ribosomal RNA is filed under the name Vamsapriya sp. RNAcentral's name for it is "SSU rRNA". It matches the Rfam family "Eukaryotic small subunit ribosomal RNA", at positions 58 to 993 of the family's 1831-position model. Lineage: Eukaryota; Fungi; Ascomycota; Sordariomycetes; Xylariales; Vamsapriyaceae. The record is from RNAcentral.
UCUAAGUAUAAGCAAUUAUACGGCGAAACUGCGAAUGGCUCAUUAAAUCAGUUAUCGUUUAUUUGAUAGUACCUUACUACUUGGAUAACCGUGGUAAUUCUAGAGCUAAUACAUGCUAAAAAUCCCGACUCACGGAGGGAUGUAUUUAUUAGAUUAAAAACCAAUGCCCUUCGGGGCUCUUUGGUGAUUCAUAAUAACUUCUCGAAUCGCAUGGCCUUGCGCCGGCGAUGGUUCAUUCAAAUUUCUGCCCUAUCAACUUUCGAUGGCAGGGUCUUGGCCUGCCAUGGUUACAACGGGUAACGGAGGGUUAGGGCUCGACCCCGGAGAAGGAGCCUGAGAAACGGCUACUACAUCCAAGGAAGGCAGCAGGCGCGCAAAUUACCCAAUCCCGACACGGGGAGGUAGUGACAAUAAAUACUGAUACAGGGCUCUUUUGGGUCUUGUAAUUGGAAUGAGUACAAUUUAAAUCCCUUAACGAGGAACAAUUGGAGGGCAAGUCUGGUGCCAGCAGCCGCGGUAAUUCCAGCUCCAAUAGCGUAUAUUAAAGUUGUUGCAGUUAAAAAGCUCGUAGUUGAACCUUGGGCCUGGCUGGCCGGUCCGCCUCACCGCGUGCACUGGUUCGGCCGGGCCUUUCCCUCUGGGGAGCCUCAUGCCCUUCACUGGGUGUGUUGGGGAACCAGGACUUUUACUGUGAAAAAAUUAGAGUGUUCAAAGCAGGCCUAUGCUCGAAUACAUCAGCAUGGAAUAAUAGAAUAGGACGUGCGGUUCUAUUUUGUUGGUUUCUAGGACCGCCGUAAUGAUUAAUAGGGACAGUCGGGGGCAUCAGUAUUCAAUUGUCAGAGGUGAAAUUCUUGGAUUUAUUGAAGACUAACUACUGCGAAAGCAUUUGCCAAGGAUGUUUUCAUUAAUCAGGAACGAAAGUUAG